RNAcentral lists this ribosomal RNA (253 nucleotides) under uncultured bacterium. RNAcentral's name for it is "partial 16S ribosomal RNA". It matches the Rfam family "Bacterial small subunit ribosomal RNA", at positions 524 to 776 of the family's 1533-position model. The record is from RNAcentral.
UACGUAGGGUGCGAGCGUUAAUCGGAAUUACUGGGCGUAAAGCGUGCGCAGGCGGUUUCGUAAGACAGAUGUGAAAUCCCCGGGCUUAACCUGGGAACUGCGUUUGUGACUGCGAGACUCGAGUGUGGCAGAGGGGGGUGGAAUUCCACGUGUAGCAGUGAAAUGCGUAGAGAUGUGGAGGAACACCGAUGGCGAAGGCAGCCCCCUGGGUCAACACUGACGCUCAUGCACGAAAGCGUGGGUAGCAAACAGG